ACAAACGAACAAUAGGUCAAAUUUAUUAGCCGGGAUAAUGGGCGGCGGAUAUUAGCGCCCGAACCGCAGCCUCCCAAACCCGAAAUCUAACGAAGCCGCAAUUAGCAGACGCUCCCCGCUCCUCCCAGGCCCGGGUCGCUUCCCGGCCGCCGCGCGGGGCCGACAGGACGCUCGGCUUGCGAAAUUGUCCCUUGCUGAGGGUUUUUUCGAUUUCUACCAAUUUUUUUUCAUCUGAGCAAAAAUCAAACCUUAUGAAUUCUUUCGAUUACAGUGGAGUUGGAACCCUGAACGAUCCUGAGGAAUCUGUGGAAGCGUCUUGGACACUCGCCGCGAGAGCAACGAAAGGGGCGUACCUUGGGGCGCAAGCCCUGUGCUCCCUGCGCGCGGGGUGAGGGGAGCUUCGUAGCGCGCUCUGCGCUCGCCUGGACUCUGACCCGCGUGGGGAGAAUUCGCCCCUACCCGGGCUUCGGCCACUUUGAAGACACUCCCUGACUUGCUCCCGGCUGACUGAGUCGUGACUCGCAGAUUCCUCUACUAAAUUUGACUUCGUUUCAACACUUUUGUUGGGCAAAUUACAUUAAGAUGGAUGUUGCAGAUGCUGCUGCGGCAGAGAGGACUGUGUGUAGUCCCGUGGGAUGCUGAGGAGAGCUCCCAGGCUCGUGCGGAGUGCCCACAGCUCAGCAUCCCCCAGGCUGCCUCUCCCAGACCAACAGCAAGCUACUAAUUUAACGGGUUCAGAAGAGCUUGGAUUUAAAUCACAAUAACACCGCGGGAAGAUGAAUGACAGUGCUAUUGAAUGUGGCUAAAAUUGGAUACUUCAGCACAGGAUGAGCCCCAAGAGAGGCCUGGAGACUGACCACUGGUUCCGACAGUCUUCAAAGACGAUGGUGUUCAUGAGGACAGACAUCAUCUAGGAGACAGAGAGUCAAGCCAAGACAAUGAGGCCUUGGUUCGGAGCUCCACCCGCCCCCCUCACCAGGGUUUCUGUGUGCUUGCCUGUCACCCCUACAUUUUGCCAUGAGUCACAAGGACUCCUCCUGGACAAACAGCUUUGACUUGGGAAGCUUAUCAUGCUGCCUGCAGGGCCUCUUGGCCAAGCCUUCAGCUCCCUGGGUAAGACUUUAUGGGCAGAAGUCAGGGGCUGCAGGAUCAACAGGGUCAGUCCUGCUUCUCAGCCUGGUUUGUGUUCCUCUCUGCUAGGACACUAGGCAAAAGCCCGGCUCAUCUUUCUGCUUUUCAUUCUACCGAAGAGGUUGGUGAAGUGUUAUGGGGGAUUGAGGGGGGAGGUAGGAGGGCAGGGGGCAACAUCUCUCUGGCCCCUUUUGGAGAGAAGGAAUGGGACUGGUUCCAUGGGCCUUGGUGUCUCCUAUUUCCCGCUGGCUCAGGUCGUUAAAGAUACCUCAUUUAUUCAUUCUUCAUUCCCUCCCUCCCUCCCGCCUAUGUGUAUGUACUCAUCCAUUCUCUUAAAUUCAAAGGCUGCAGAACAUCUGGGGAGGGAAGAGAACUCAGGCCUCUACCACAGACUCCCCCUUGGGGACCUAGCCUUUUCCUAGGGGAUACCUCCCAACAGUGGUGUGAAGCACUUUGGGCAUGUGGCAGAGGGAAGGAUGCCUCUGGGCUCUGGGUCCUCAGGGGAGAUGCCACAGAGUAGGUUAUAUUUGGAGUUCACCAUACAUGUAUUCUGAACAGAGAAAGUAGCCAAAAAAAAAAAAAAAA
Long non-coding RNA from Condylura cristata (star-nosed mole), 1716 nucleotides. RefSeq lists it as uncharacterized. The transcript has 5 exons. Lineage: Eukaryota; Metazoa; Chordata; Mammalia; Eulipotyphla; Talpidae. The record is from RefSeq and is a predicted model, not a curated record.